AGUGAACGCUGGCGGCGUGCUUAACACAUGCAAGUCGAGCGAAUUUCAGCAGUGUAUCGCUGGAGUUAGCGGCAGACGGGUGAGUAAUAUUUGGGCAAUCUGCCCUUAAGAGGAAAACAACCUGCCGAAAGGCGGGCUAAUGUUCCAUAAGACCACGGGAUGGCAUUAUCCAGGGGUUAAAGCUCCGCAAGGGGCGCUUGAGGAGGAGCCCGAAUCCUAUCAGCUAGNGGUGAGGUAAUGGCUCACCAAGGCUUUGACGGGUAGCCGGCCUGAAAGGGUGACCGGCCACACUGGCACUGAGACACGGGCCAGACUCCUACGGGAGGCAGCAGUGGGGAAUUUUGGACAA
This 349-nucleotide ribosomal RNA is filed under the name uncultured bacterium. Its description in RNAcentral is "bacterial SSU rRNA". It matches the Rfam family "Bacterial small subunit ribosomal RNA", at positions 29 to 371 of the family's 1533-position model. The record is from RNAcentral.